UACAGAGGGUGCAAGCGUUAAUCGGAAUUACUGGGCGUAAAGCGUGCGUAGUCGGUUAUUUAAGUCGGGUGUGAAAGCCCCGGGCUCAACCUGGGAAUUGCAUUCGAUACUGGAUAGCUAGAGUUCGGCAGAGGGAAGCGGAAUUUCCGGUGUAGCGGUGAAAUGCGUAGAUAUCGGAAGGAACAUCAGCGGCGAAAGCGGCUUCCUGGACCAGAACUGACGCUGAGGCACGAAGGCCAGGGGAGCAAACGGG
Molecule: ribosomal RNA, 253 nt
Filed under: uncultured bacterium
Lineage: Bacteria
Description: partial 16S ribosomal RNA
Rfam family: Bacterial small subunit ribosomal RNA
Source: RNAcentral